UAGGGAAUCUUCCACAAUGGACGCAAGUCUGAUGGAGCAACGCCGCGUGAGUGAAGAAGGCUUUCGGGUCGUAAAACUCUGUUAUUGAAGAAGAACGUGUGUGACAGUAACUGGUCAUGCAGUGACGGUAUUCAAUCAGAAAGUCACGGCUAACUACGUGCCAGCAGCCGCGGUAAUACGUAGGUGGCAAGCGUUGUCCGGAUUUAUUGGGCGUAAAGCGAGUGCAGGCGGUCUUUUAAGUCNGAUGUGAAAUGCCUUCGGCUUAACC
RNAcentral lists this ribosomal RNA (268 nucleotides) under uncultured bacterium. Its description in RNAcentral is "partial 16S ribosomal RNA". It matches the Rfam family "Bacterial small subunit ribosomal RNA", at positions 355 to 614 of the family's 1533-position model. The record is from RNAcentral.